RNAcentral lists this ribosomal RNA (446 nucleotides) under uncultured bacterium. RNAcentral's name for it is "bacterial SSU rRNA". It matches the Rfam family "Bacterial small subunit ribosomal RNA", at positions 329 to 793 of the family's 1533-position model. The record is from RNAcentral.
AGCCAGACUCCUACGGGAGGCAGCAGUGGGGAAUAUUGCACAAUGGGGGGAACCCUGAUGCAGCGACGCCGCGUGGGUGAAGGAGCACCUCGGUGCGUAAAGCCCUAUCGGCAGGGAAGAAACAGACGGUACCUGACUAAGAAGCCCCGGCUAACUACGUGCCAGCAGCCGCGGUAAUACGGAGGAUGCGAGCGUUAUCCGGAUUUAUUGGGUUUAAAGGGUGCGUAGGCGGGCAUUUAAGCCGGCGGUCAAAUGUCGGGGCUCAACCCCGGCCUGCCGUCGGAACUGGGUGCCUUGAGUGGGCGAGAAGUAUGCGGAAUGCGUGGUGUAGCGGUGAAAUGCAUAGAUAUCACGCAGAACCCCGAUUGCGAAGGCAGCAUACCGGCGCCCUACUGACGCUGAGGCACGAAAGUGCGGGUAUCGAACAGGAUUAGAUACCCGCGUAU